AUAUUCAUCGUGUUGCCAUUCCAACGUAAUUGAUAAGACGAACUUGUAGCUUUGCAUCGAACACGUAGUCCGUGCUUCACCCGUUGCGGCCGAACCGUAGAUUGCUCGCGUGUUUUAUACUUUGUUAGUUACUAUUGUUCAGUGUUCAUUGUUUUAAUGUAUUUCUUGAUAAAGUUAUAAACAUUCGUGUACAUCUAUCCGAUCCUCUGACGCUUCAACCAGCGGCCAACAGCGAGACCUUCGUUAUUAAAUAAUCGUACGGGCCUAGCCACUCCAGGUCCAGGCUCGCUACAAGUGUUGAAUCCAGUAAAUCAACUCUUAAGUCUAUUAAGUGUCAGAAAGAUCAACAGAAAAACAUAAACAAGAAUUUAAAGGAAUUACUUCAAAACUUAGAGCACAGCAUGGACAAAUAUUUGAAAGUGUUGAACUUUGUUUGAUCAGAAUAACCUCGAGGUGAACAGUAUGUACAGCAAAAAAUAUUUGUUGCAUAUCCUUUUGGAGAAUGUACCUUGCAUACCAUUAUGGGAAAAAGUUAUUUUAUACUUAGUAAAUUUGAUCGUCAGAGUAAAGCUCCAAUUUAAAGCUGUUUUAAUUUGGUAAGAAAAAAAUGAAGUGUAGGGAUUUGUUGAAAUGAUAAACUAUGUAUAAAGGUAAUUGUUUUAGGCAAUUGAAAAUAAAAAUACCAAGGUGGAAGUGUGCAAUUGGUAACAAAUAUGGUGAUGAAGAUAAUUUGCUUUCGAACACUCCAGAAAUUUGGAGAAAGAACGGUAAAUGUCCUGCGUUCUUGAGAAACAACAAUAGGGUCUUGUAUGCUAACAAUAGUAAACCUGUUCAAAAUAAUAGACAAUAAGAAAAUGAUAAUAUUGCUAUUGAAGAGGAAACAAAAGAGAUGACAGACCCACAAACAACUAUUAGUUGUCGUGAAAAAACAAUCCUAGAUUCAGAGCAACAAAUAUUAGAUACCAAUGAUGAUCAUGCUAAAUAUGAGAAAUCUUGACCAGGUAACAAUAAAGAAAAAGCAUGUUGAAAAAAUUCAAAACUAAACUGAAGGUGUUGAUGAAACUAUGUCUUCAGUGGUAGUUGAAUGUUGUCCAGAAAAUGAGGAUUUAAGUAAUAAUUUAUAUCAACAUUCAUGGUCGUGUGGUGGUUUGGGAACAGUAAAAUAUAAAGUCACCUACAGGAAAAUAUAAUUUAUAUCGCACUAGUAAACUAGUGAAAGAUGCAAAUUAUUACAUGCGAUCUUAUCUCGGAGUUGAUGACUAUGUAGUAUCAAAAAUUUCUUUUGAUAAUGAUGAGGUGUAGAUAACUUAUUUGGACUUUAAACAGUUAAAUACUGAAGGUGAUAGCUGUUCUCUUUGAUUGUUAUGGGCUACCAUAUAUUUAUUGAAACCGUGUGCAAUUAUGUAACUAGUUCUAAUCACAGAACCACAACUAGAACUACAACCAACUUAAUGCACUUAGUAUCAGAAUUUUGUUAACACUUUGAUUUAUAAAAUAAAUAUAUUAAAAGUAUUAAAAGUUAAAGUCUCACGUCUAAUUAAUAACACAUAUUUGACUGCUCAAGUUGAAAUCAAGCUGGUGGCAUGGAACAUUUGUUAUAAAAUACUAAAAUAUGGUGUAUAUUACAAAUAUAUUUUUAGAAAAAAAUGAAUAUAUUUGGAUAACUAAAAAAAAAACAACAAAUAAAGUGUCUGAUUACAGAUAUUAUUUGUUAAAUGUUGGAAAAAAUUUUGAGAACUCUACCAACGGAAGACUUGAAUGGUUUAAUUUGUCUAGACUUAUAGUACAGUCACUGGAAAAUAGUAUUUGGACUUGAUUGUAUGUCAAUUUUAUUGAAAAGACUGUCAGUUAUUUAAACUCUACUGAAUGUGUGUUCUGGAUAUGUUGAAGAGUAUAUCCAAGAAGUGGAAUCCAAUGCAAGUAAUUAGCAAUGUCGAUAAAUGGAUGGAUCUAUAUGUCAAUAUACCAUAUCAAAAUUAUGGAUAUAUCUGUGGUGUAUUCAUAUUAUAAUUUUCAAAUUAAUUAAUGAGCUGUAAAAGUAAUUGAUGAUUCCAAUUCCAAUGUUUACCGCAAAGACUUGGAGAACAUGAUAUUCACAAGGUUUAUGUGAAUUAAAAACAAUUAUUUGAUUUGUGAAAAAGAUGAAGGAAAUUUGAAAGGAAAUUAUCAAGGUGUUGCUGAAGAAUAUAGCUCAACGGUUCAAUAUGAUUCUUGUACAAGGUGGCUGCAUAUAUCAUGUUUGCCCGAUGCAAACAAGAAAAAAGUAGAAAAUGAUAAUUGGUUAGCUAUGGACUAUGAUUAAUUUAAUAUUCAAAAAAUCCAUUGUUAUGAAAUAUGAUAUCCAAGGAAAAUUCUCCACUUGAUUAAUAAGGAACAAUACCUAUGUGUUUACACUAGAGAACUGCUAUACAAUAAUUCGAAUUAUUAUAUUAAAUAUCAACUCUGAUAUCAUAUACGUGUAUCAAGGAUUUUAUUUAAUGUUGGGUGCAAAUUUUGAAGAAAAUAUAAUUAC
RNAcentral lists this unclassified non-coding RNA (2512 nucleotides) under Sipha flava (yellow sugarcane aphid). RNAcentral's name for it is "uncharacterized LOC112687431, transcript variant X1". Lineage: Eukaryota; Metazoa; Arthropoda; Insecta; Hemiptera; Aphididae. The record is from RNAcentral.